This 287-nucleotide long non-coding RNA is filed under the name Lathyrus oleraceus (garden pea). Its description in RNAcentral is "Pisum sativum (pea) long non-coding RNA (PSAT_LNC023862)". Lineage: Eukaryota; Viridiplantae; Streptophyta; Magnoliopsida; Fabales; Fabaceae. The record is from RNAcentral.
UUUUCUUGGCCAUUUAUUUAGUGUUUUGAAGGAGUUUAUGGAUUUUUCACUUUAUUUCUAUUUUUGAAUUCAUUUAAAAAAUACCUUUGAUGCAUUUUUAUUUUAUUUAAUUGCAUUUUUAUUUGUGUGACUUUGUGAACUUCUGUUGGUCUUGGAUCAUGAUGGUUUGGACUUCAAGUCUCGUCAAACUCAAUGGAUCUUGGGUGUUGAUGGGAUGAAAUCUCUAAUCCACCAAAAUAGAUGAUUGAUUUUUAUGAUGACUUGAUCAAACUUUUGAUCCAAUUUGG